This 755-nucleotide ribosomal RNA is filed under the name uncultured Bacteroidales bacterium. RNAcentral describes it as "bacterial SSU rRNA". It matches the Rfam family "Bacterial small subunit ribosomal RNA", at positions 34 to 776 of the family's 1533-position model. The record is from RNAcentral. Lineage: Bacteria; Pseudomonadati; Bacteroidota; Bacteroidia; Bacteroidales.
CGCUAGCUACAGGCUUAACACAUGCAAGUCGAGGGGCAGCAUGGUCUUAGCUUGCUAAGGCUGAUGGCGACCGGCGCACGGGUGAGUAACACGUAUCCAACCUGCCGUCUACUCUUGGCCAGCCUUCUGAAAGGAAGAUUAAUCCAGGAUGGCAUCAUGAGUUCACAUGUCCGCAUGAUUAAAGGUAUUUUCCGGUAGACGAUGGGGAUGCGUUCCAUUAGAUAGUAGGCGGGGUAACGGCCCACCUAGUCAACGAUGGAUAGGGGUUCUGAGAGGAAGGUCCCCCACAUUGGAACUGAGACACGGUCCAAACUCCUACGGGAGGCAGCAGUGAGGAAUAUUGGUCAAUGGGCGAUGGCCUGAACCAGCCAAGUAGCGUGAAGGAUGACUGCCCUAUGGGUUGUAAACUUCUUUUAUAAAGGAAUAAAGUCGGGUAUGCAUACCCGUUUGCAUGUACUUUAUGAAUAAGGAUCGGCUAACUCCGUGCCAGCAGCCGCGGUAAUACGGAGGAUCCGAGCGUUAUCCGGAUUUAUUGGGUUUAAAGGGAGCGUAGAUGGAUGUUUAAGUCAGUUGUGAAAGUUUGCGGCUCAACCGUAAAAUUGCAGUUGAUACUGGAUGUCUUGAGUGCAGUUGAGGCAGGCGGAAUUCGUGGUGUAGCGGUGAAAUGCUUAGAUAUCACGAAGAACUCCGAUUGCGAAGGCAGCCUGCUAAGCUGCAACUGACAUUGAGGCUCGAAAGUGUGGGUAUCAAACAGG